RNAcentral lists this ribosomal RNA (496 nucleotides) under uncultured bacterium. Its description in RNAcentral is "partial 16S ribosomal RNA". It matches the Rfam family "Bacterial small subunit ribosomal RNA", at positions 30 to 523 of the family's 1533-position model. The record is from RNAcentral.
AUUGAACGCUGGCGGAAUGCUUUACACAUGCAAGUCGAACGGUAGAGGGGGCAACCCCUCGAGAGUGGCGAACGGGUGAGUAAUAUAUCGGAACGUGCCCAGUCGUGGGGGAUAACGUAGCGAAAGUUACGCUAAUACCGCGUACGAUCUAAGGAUGAAAGCGGGGGACCGUAAGGCCUCGCGCGAUUGGAGCGGCCGAUAUCAGAUUAGGUAGUUGGUGAGGUAAAGGCUCACCAAGCCAACGAUCUGUAGCUGGUCUGAGAGGACGACCAGCCCCACUGGAACGGAGAAAGGGUCCAGACUCCUACGGGAGGCAGCAGUGGGGAAUUUUGGACAAUGGACGCAAGUCUGAUCCAGCCAUUCCGCGUGCAGGAUGAAGGCCCUCGGGUUGUAAACUGCUUUUGUACGGAACGAAAAGGUCUCUCCUAAUACGAGGGGCUCAUGACGGUACCGUAAGAAUAAGCACCGGCUAACUACGUGCCAGCCGCCGCGGUAA